UAGUUGGUGAGGUAAUGGCUCACCAAGGCUAUGACGCAUAACUGGUUUGAGAGGAUGAUCAGUCACACUGGAACUGAGACACGGUCCAGACUCCUACGGGAGGCAGCAGUGGGGAAUAUUGCACAAUGGACGAAAGUCUGAUGCAGCAACGCCGCGUGGAGGAUGACACAUUUCGGUGCGUAAACUCCUUUUAUAUAGGAAGAUAAUGACGGUACUAUAUGAAUAAGCACCGGCUAACUCCGUGCCAGCAGCCGCGGUAAUACGGGGGGUGCAAGCGUUACUCGGAAUCACUGGGCGUAAAGAGCAUGUAGGCGGAUUAAUAAGUUUGAAGUGAAAUCCUAUAGCUUAACUAUAGAACUGCUUUGAAAACUGUUAAUCUAGAAUGUGGGAGAGGUAGAUGGAAUUUCUGGUGUAGGGGUAAAAUCCGUAGAGAUCAGAAGGAAUACCGAUUGCGAAGGCGAUCUACUGGAACAU
RNAcentral lists this ribosomal RNA (474 nucleotides) under uncultured bacterium. Its description in RNAcentral is "bacterial SSU rRNA". It matches the Rfam family "Bacterial small subunit ribosomal RNA", at positions 246 to 737 of the family's 1533-position model. The record is from RNAcentral.